AAUCAACGCUGGCGGCGUGCCUAACACAUGCAAGUCGAACGCGAAAGCCCCUUCGGGGGUAAGUAGAGUGGCGUCCGGGUGAGUAACACGUAGGUAAUCUACCUUCGGGUGGGGAAGUAACUCGCCGAAAGGCGAGCUAAUACCGCAUAAUGCAGCGGCACCUAAUGGUGAUUAGUUGUUAAAGCGGGGGAGUCGUAAGACCUCGCGCCUGAAGAGGAGCCUGCGGCGGANAUUAGCUAGNGGUGAGGUAAUGGCUCACCAAGGCUUCGAUCUGUAGCUGGCCUGAGAGGGCGACCGGCCACACUGGGACUGAGACACGGCCAAGACUCCUACGGGAGGCAGCAGUGGGGAAUCUUGCGCAAUGGGCGAAAGCCUGACGCAGCGACGCCGCGUGAGGGAUGACGGCC
RNAcentral lists this ribosomal RNA (407 nucleotides) under uncultured bacterium. RNAcentral's name for it is "bacterial SSU rRNA". It matches the Rfam family "Bacterial small subunit ribosomal RNA", at positions 29 to 416 of the family's 1533-position model. The record is from RNAcentral.